Molecule: ribosomal RNA, 1397 nt
Filed under: uncultured bacterium
Lineage: Bacteria
Description: bacterial SSU rRNA
Rfam family: Bacterial small subunit ribosomal RNA
Source: RNAcentral
ACGUACGCUGGCGGCACGCCUAACACAUGCAAGUCGAACGAAGUAGCAAUACUUAGUGGCAGACGGGUGAGUAACAUGUAGGUAUCUGCCCUUUGGCCUGGAAUAACACGAGGAAACUUGUGCUAAUACUGGAUAAGUCUUCACGGAGAAAGCUUUAUGCACCAUUGGAUGAGCCUGCACUUGAUUAGUUUGUUGGUGGGGUAAUGGCCUACCAAGACUUUGAUCAAUAGCUGAUUUGAGAGGAUGAUCAGCCACAUUGGGACUGAGACACGGCCCAAACUCCUACGGGAGGCAGCAGUGGGGAAUCUUGCACAAUGGAGGAAACUCUGAUGCAGCGAUGCCGCGUGAGUGAAGAAGGCCUUUGGGUUGUAAAGCUCUUUCGUCGGGGAAGAAAAUGACUGUACCCGAAUAAGAAGGUCCGGCUAACUUCGUGCCAGCAGCCGCGGUAAUACGAAGGGACCUAGCGUAGUUCGGAAUUACUGGGCUUAAAGAGUUCGUAGGUGGUUGAAAAAGUUGGUGGUGAAAUCCCAGAGCUUAACUCUGGAACUGCCAUCAAAACUUUUCAGCUAGAGUUUGAUAGAGGAAAGCAGAAUUUCUAGUGUAGAGGUGAAAUUCGUAGAUAUUAGAAAGAAUACCAAAUGCGAAGGCAGCUUUCUGGAUCAUUACUGACACUGAGGAACGAAAGCAUGGGUAGCGAAGAGGAUUAGAUACCCUCGUAGUCCAUGCCGUAAACGAUGUGUGUUAGACGUUGGAAAUUUAUUUUCAGUGUCGCAGCGAAAGCAAUAAACACACCGCCUGGGGAGUACGACCGCAAGGUUAAAACUCAAAUGAAUUGACGGGGACCCGCACAAGUAGUGGAGCAUGUGGUUUAAUUCGAAGAUACGCGCAGAACCUUACCAACACUUGACAUGUUCGUCGCGACUUUAAGAGAUUAAAGUUUUCGGUUCGGCCGGACGAAACACAGGUGCUGCAUGGCUGUCGUCAGCUCGUGUCGUGAGAUGUUGGGUUAAGUCCCGCAACGAGCGCAACCCUCACUUUUAGUUGCCAUCAUUAAGUUGGGCACUCUGAAAGAACUGCCAGUGAUAAGCUGGAGGAAGGUGGGGAUGACGUCAAGUCCUCAUGGCCCUUACGUGUUGGGCUACACACGUGCUACAAUGAUAUUUACAACAGGAAGCAAAACGGCGACGUUAAGCAAAUCCUCAAAAAAUAUCUCAGUUCGGAUUGCACUCUGCAACUCGAGUGCAUGAAGCUGGAAUUACUAGUAAUCGUGGAUCAGCGUGCCACGGUGAAUGCGUUCCCGGGUCUUGUACACACCGCCCGUCACACCAUGGGAGUUGGUUCUACCUUAAGGCAAGGUUUAAAAUCCUUGACCACGGUAUAGUCAGCGACUGGGGUGA